Molecule: small nucleolar RNA, 216 nt
Filed under: Papio anubis (olive baboon)
Lineage: Eukaryota; Metazoa; Chordata; Mammalia; Primates; Cercopithecidae
Description: Small nucleolar RNA U3 (ENSPANG00000049364.1)
Rfam family: Small nucleolar RNA U3
About the family: Small nucleolar RNAs (snoRNAs) are involved in the processing and modification of rRNA in the nucleolus. There are two main classes of snoRNAs: the box C/D class, and the box H/ACA class.
Source: Rfam by way of RNAcentral
AAGACUAUACUUUCAGGGAUCAUUUCUAUAGUUUGUUACUAGAGAAGUUUCUCUGAACGUGUAGAGCACCAAAAACCACGAGGAAGAGACGUAGUGUUUUCUCCUGAGCGUGAAACAGGCGUUUGGUGUUGCUUCCCUGCAACUGCCGUCAGCCAUUGAUGAUCGUUCUUCUCUCCGCUUAGGAGAGCAAGAGGGAGAGAACGCUGUCUGAGUGGU